RNAcentral lists this ribosomal RNA (1043 nucleotides) under uncultured bacterium. Its description in RNAcentral is "bacterial SSU rRNA". The stretch from base 109 to 1043 matches the Rfam family "Bacterial small subunit ribosomal RNA", at positions 1 to 916 of the family's 1533-position model. The record is from RNAcentral.
AAUUAAGAAAGAGAUUUUUGCAUCACGCGAUAAAAAGUGCUAACACAUCGAAGAUGUGAAGAAAAAUAGUGCUAACACAUCGAAGAUGUGAAGAGAAGUAGUGCUAACACAUCGGAGAAGUGAAGAGAAAUAGCGCUUAAAAAGUGCUGACACACAUAAGAAUGUGGAAGUAAAAAAAGCCGUAGCACAAAUUAAAAGUAAGUGUUCAGUGUUGCAGAUAAUUUAGCGGCGGACGGGUGAGUAACGCGUGAGUAACCUGCCUUUCAGAGGGGGAUAACACAGGGAAACUUGUGCUAAUACCGCAUAAAGUCUUCAUAUCGCAUGGUAGGGAGACCAAAGGAGAAAUCCGCUGAAAGAUGGACUCGCGUCCAAUUAGCUAGUAGGUAGGGUAACGGCCUACCUAGGCGACGAUUGGUAGCCGAACUGAGAGGUUGAUCGGCCACAUUGGGACUGAGACACGGCCCAGACUCCUACGGGAGGCAGCAGUGGGGAAUAUUGCGCAAUGGGGGGAACCCUGACGCAGCAACGCCGCGUGAAGGAAGAAGGCCUUCGGGUUGUAAACUUCUUUGAUCAGGGACGAAGGAAAUGACUGUACCUGAAGAACAAGCCACGGCUAACUACGUGCCAGCAGCCGCGGUAAUACGUAGGUGGCAAGCGUUGUCCGGAAUUACUGGGUGUAAAGGGCGUGUAGGCGGGGAGGUAAGUCAGAUGUGAAAUUCCAGGGCUCAACCCUGGAGCUGCAUCUGAAACUAUCUUUCUUGAGUGCUGGAGAGGAAAGCGGAAUUCCUAGUGUAGCGGUGAAAUGCGUAGAUAUUUAGGAGGAACACCAGUGGCGAAGGCGGCUUUCUGGACAGUAACUGACGCUGAGGCGCGAAAGCGUGGGGAGCAAACAGGAUUAGAACCCCUGGUAGUCCACGCUGUAAACGAUGGAUACUAAGGGGUAAGGAAGGUAUCGACCCCUUCUGGGGCCGGAAUUAACCCAAUAAGUAUCCCACCCUGGGGGAGUACGGCCCGCAAGGUUGAAACUCAAAAGGAAUUGACGG